CUUUCAGUGCUGAAUUAUGUAAAAGUUCUAUUACAUACUUUGCAAAUAAUUUACAAUUCUUUACUGGAGAGAAAUUGUUUCUAACUAAAUAAUAUAAGCUACCAUAAUGACGAAAGGCAAAAAUGAUGUCGAAGACGAUUACUCAGCGAAGUUAGACAUGUGUCUAACUGAUGGAAUCAUUAAAACUGGAAGUGGUGUUUUGUUGGGAGCUCUAUCUUCAGUUUUAUUCUUGGGUCGGCGGAGAUGGCCAGUUAUAGCUGGGAUGGGUAUGGGAAUAGGUCUAGCAUAUGCUAACUGUGAAUAUGAGUUAAACCCAAAAAAGAAAAAUACUGCAUAAUGACUAAAACGUAAUAUCAGAUAAGAGUUUAGUUGAGAAGACUUGAGUGAUGCAAAUCAUGUCCAGUAAGCAAUUUCAACUUCGGUAGAUAAUUUAUUUUAAAAGCAUUCAAUUUUGUUUUAAUGUACAAAUAAUUAUUAAUUAUUAUAA
This is a long non-coding RNA of Vanessa tameamea, 487 nucleotides long. RefSeq lists it as uncharacterized. The record is from RefSeq and is a predicted model, not a curated record. NCBI's taxonomy places the organism in Eukaryota, Metazoa, Arthropoda, Insecta, Lepidoptera, Nymphalidae. The transcript is spliced from 3 exons.